UACGUAGGUGACCAGCGUUGUCCGGAUUUACUGGGCGUAAAGAGCGCGCAGGCGGUCGUUCAAGUCGAGUGUGAAAGCCCCCGGCUCAACUGGGGAGGGUCACUCGAUACUGAUCGACUUGAAGGCAGGAGAGGGAAGCGGAAUUCCCGGUGUAGUGGUGAAAUGCGUAGAUAUCGAGAGGAACACCUGCGGCGAAGGCGGGUUGCUGGGCUGAUACUGACGCUGAGGCGCGAAAGCCAGGGGAGCGAACGGG
RNAcentral lists this ribosomal RNA (253 nucleotides) under uncultured bacterium. RNAcentral describes it as "partial 16S ribosomal RNA". It matches the Rfam family "Bacterial small subunit ribosomal RNA", at positions 524 to 776 of the family's 1533-position model. The record is from RNAcentral.